GGAUGCCCAGACUACCUUUGGUCCACAAGAUAAGGAACGUAAUUAUUAUCAAAGUUAGAUAUAUCUUGAGGCUUCCUAAUAGCUAUUCAACUCCAGAUUGUCUGUUUUGCCUUCGACACUUGUCUCUUGCUACUUGCUUAUUCAUGUUACUGACCUUUGUGGUUUUCCUAAUUUUUCCGCUUCUUCUUACUUCUUAUUGUCUCC
This is a non-coding RNA of Pelobates cultripes (western spadefoot toad), 204 nucleotides long. NCBI's taxonomy places the organism in Eukaryota, Metazoa, Chordata, Amphibia, Anura, Pelobatidae. The record is from the annotation of a GenBank genome assembly.